RNAcentral lists this small RNA (178 nucleotides) under uncultured Prevotella sp. RNAcentral describes it as "Bacteroidales-1 6S-Bacteroidales RNA suggested". It matches the Rfam family "Bacteroidales-1 6S-Bacteroidales RNA suggested". The record is from RNAcentral. Lineage: Bacteria; Pseudomonadati; Bacteroidota; Bacteroidia; Bacteroidales; Prevotellaceae.
GUCGUAUCGAUUCGAUCGGGAUACUCAUCAAAUUACAUUGAAAACUGAGUUGUUUCUUCUGCCAAUGGCGGGCCACAUCUCUCACAAGGAGAAGUUGUAAAACCGGUGGAUUACAAAGGCUAAGAGCGCUCUUCAUCUUAUAACAAAGGAGUUUUCAUCACAUCCUCGGUACGAUUCC